Non-coding RNA from Acidovorax sp. JS42, 342 nucleotides. The record is from Rfam. Lineage: Bacteria; Pseudomonadati; Pseudomonadota; Betaproteobacteria; Burkholderiales; Comamonadaceae.
GAAGCACGCCAGACCGCCGCUGGUGCAAUCUGGGAAACCAGGCACUGGAGGAACGUCCGGACUGCACAGGACAGCGUAGCAGCUAACGGCUGCCCACCGUGAGGUGAGGAUCAGAGCAACAGAGACGAGUCCCGGGGGAGUGCCUGCGAAGGCAGACCACUGGGGGUGAAACGGGCAAUCUCUACGCGCAGCAAUACCAAGUAGGCCAGCGUUGACGUGGUUCCGCGGAGCUGGCGGGUAGGUAGCACCGAGCCGUGGUGGUGACACCCGGCCCAGAUUAAUGGCGGUCACGCUGCGGGCAACCGCAGUGCACAGAAUCCGGCUUAUCGGCGCGCUUCACAC